GGAAGGAUCAUUACCGAGUUUGGGUCCUUUGACGGGCUCGACCUCCCAACCCUUUGUCUACCUGACCUCAUUGUUGCUUCGGCGGGCCCGUCCCCUUUGGGGGACCGCCGGAAGGGUUUACGCCCCUCUGGCCCGCGCCCGUCGGUGGCCUUAAUGAAAAAACGCUUGUUAAACCGUGGCGUCUUGAAUUGUGAUGAGAAAGAAUAACCGGAUAAAAACUUUUCAACAACGGAUCUCUUGGUUCUGGCAUCGAUGAAGAACGCAGCGAAAUGCGAUAAGUAAUGCGAAUUGCAGAAUCCGUGAGUCAUCGAAUCUUUGAACGCAUAUUGCGCCCUUUGGUAUUCCGAAGGGCAUGCCUGUUCGAGCGUCAUUAUCACCCCCCUCAAGCCUCGGCUUGGUGUUGGACUUGGUUAUUGUUGGGCAGUAACCGGCCUCAAAGAUAGUGACGGCGUCCCAGAGGGAACCGGUACGAGGAGCUUUUUGUAUCGAAGCAUGUACGCGGGAAGACUCUUGUGGGCGACGGUCUUGUUACCCUGACAUUUUCUCAGUGUUGACCUCGGAUCAGGUAGGAAUACCCGCUGAACUUAAGCAUAUCAAUAAGCGGAGGAAAAGAAACCAACAGGGAUUGCCUCAGUAACGGCGAGUGAAGCGGCAACAGCUCAAAUUUAAAAUCUGGCUUCCUGCGAAGUCCGAGUUGUAAUUUGUAGAGGACGUUUCGGGCUCCACCGCGUCUUAAAUUUCUUGGAACAGAAUGUCAGAGAGGGUGAGAACCCCGUCUGGAGUCGCGGCACCGGGCCCAUGUGAAACUCCUUCGACGAGUCGAGUUGUUUGGGAAUGCAGCUCAAAAUGGGUGGUAAAUUUCAUCUAAAGCUAAAUAUUGGCCAGAGACCGAUAGCGCACAAGUAGAGUGAUCGAAAGAUGAAAAGCACUUUGAAAAGAGAGUUAAACAGUACGUGAAAUUGUUGAAAGGGAAGCGCUGGCAACCAGACUUGCGCGCGGAGGCUCCCCCUCGCUUCUAGCGUGGGCUACUCCUCCGUGUCCAGGCUAACAUCGGUUCGGGCGGUCGGUUAAAGGCCUUGGGAAUGUAUCUUCCCCCGGGAAGACUUAUAGCCCAGGGUGUCAUGCGGCCCGCCCGGACCGAGGAACGCGCUUCGGCUCGGAUGUUGGCGUAAUGGUUGUCAGCGACCCGUCUUGAAACACGGACCAAGGAGUCUAACAUCUAUGCGAGUGUUCGGGUGUCAAACCCUUUGCGCGGAAUGAAAGUGAACGGAGGUAGGAAGCCCUGCGGCUGCACUAUCGACCGAUCCUGAAGUUUACGGAUGGAUUUGAGUAAGAGCAUAGCUGUUGGGACCCGAAAGAUGGUGAACUAUGCCUGAAUAGGGUGAAGCCAGAGGAAACUCUGGUGGAGGCUCGCAGCGGUUCUGACGUGCAAAUCGAUCGUCAAAUUUGGGUAUAGGGGCGAAAGACUAAUCGAACCAUCUGGUAGCUGGUUCCUGC
RNAcentral lists this unclassified non-coding RNA (1497 nucleotides) under uncultured fungus. RNAcentral describes it as "sequence contains 18S rRNA gene, ITS1, 5.8S rRNA gene, ITS2, 28S rRNA gene". The stretch from base 552 to 1497 matches the Rfam family "Eukaryotic large subunit ribosomal RNA", at positions 1 to 961 of the family's 3401-position model. The record is from RNAcentral. Lineage: Eukaryota; Fungi.